GGGCGUUAAGUUGCAGGGUAUAGACCCGAAACCCGGUGAUCUAGCCAUGGGCAGGUUGAAGGUUGGGUAACACUAACUGGAGGACCGAACCGACUAAUGUUGAAAAAUUAGCGGAUGACCUGUGGCUGGGGGUGAAAGGCCAAUCAAACCGGGAGAUAGCUGGUUCUCCCCGAAAGCUAUUUAGGUAGCGCCUCGUGAAUUCAUCUCCGGGGGUAGAGCACUGUUUCGGCUAGGGGGCCAUCCCGGCUUACCAACCCGAUGCAAACUGCGAAUACCGGAGAAUGUUAUCACGGGAGACACACGGCGGGUGCUAACGUCCGUCGUGAAGAGGGAAACAACCCAGACCGCCAGCUAAGGUCCCAAAGUCAUGGUUAAGUGGGAAACGAUGUGGGAAGGCCCAGACAGCCAGGAUGUUGGCUUAGAAGCAGCCAUCAUUUAAAGAAAGCGUAAUAGCUCACUGGUCGAGUCGGCCUGCGCGGAAGAUGUAACGGGGCUAAACCAUGCACCGAAGCUGCGGCAGCGACGCUGAUGCGUUGUUGGGUAGGGGAGCGUUCUGUAAGCCUGCGAAGGUGGCCUGUGAGGGUUGCUGGAGGUAUCAGAAGUGCGAAUGCUGACAUAAGUAACGAUAAAGCGGGUGAAAAGCCCGCUCGCCGGAAGACCAAGGGUUCCUGUCCAACGUUAAUCGGGGCAGGGUGAGUCGACCCCUAAGGCGAGGCCGAAAGGCGUAGUCGAUGGGAAACGGGUUAAUAUUCCCGUACUUGGUGUUACUGCGAAGGGGGGACGGAGAAGGCUAUGUUGGCCGGGCGACGGUUGUCCCGGUUUAAGCGUGUAGGUGUGUGUUCCAGGUAAAUCCGGUUCACUUUAACACUGAGGCGUGAUGACGAGGCACUACGGUGCUGAAGCAACAAAUGCCCUGCUUCCAGGAAAAGCCUCUAAGCAUCAGGUAACAUCAAAUCGUACCCCAAACCGACACAGGUGGUCAGGUAGAGAAUACCAAGGCGCUUGAGAGAACUCGGGUGAAGGAACUAGGCAAAAUGGUGCCGUAACUUCGGGAGAAGGCACGCUGACA
This 1069-nucleotide ribosomal RNA is filed under the name Salmonella enterica. Its description in RNAcentral is "partial 23S ribosomal RNA". It matches the Rfam family "Bacterial large subunit ribosomal RNA", at positions 690 to 1756 of the family's 2925-position model. Lineage: Bacteria; Pseudomonadati; Pseudomonadota; Gammaproteobacteria; Enterobacterales; Enterobacteriaceae. RNAcentral also lists the same sequence under 2 other names. The record is from RNAcentral.